This 1186-nucleotide long non-coding RNA is filed under the name Heterocephalus glaber (naked mole-rat). Its description in RNAcentral is "lncRNA (ENSHGLG00100051800.1)". Lineage: Eukaryota; Metazoa; Chordata; Mammalia; Rodentia; Bathyergidae. The record is from RNAcentral.
GACCUUUAGCUGAGGAAAAGCAGGUGAAGAUUUUUUCCCACAUUGUGGGUUGUCUCUUCACACUGCUGGUGGUUUCUCUUGCUGUGCAGAAGCCUUUUAAUAAGAAGAGAUCCCACUUGUUGAUUGUUUGUGCUAGUUCAUGGGCAACUGAGGUUUUGUUCAUAAAAUCUUUUCCUACACUGAUGUCUUCAAGGGUUCUACCUAACCUCUGUUCCAACUGUUUCAGAGUUUCUAUUUUAAUAUUUAUAUCUUUAAUCCAUUUGGAUUUUAGUUUAGUGCAUGGUGAGAGAUACAGGUCUAGUUUCACUCUUUGGCAAGUUGAAGCCCAAUUUAGGAGAAGGCAGUUUAGAUGGAGGAACAGUCUCAGUCUACUCGAUUAUCAGACAUUUGGCCCAUAUCUACUCUUCCUGAAGAUAGAGACGCUAAUGGAGAAGGAACAGUCCUUGGCCAGAAGGAGCUCACUUUGUGGUGGAAAAUGACCAACAGAGGAUAAAGUGCAUGAAUAAAGGGAUGGAUGACUGAAACGCCAGUGGUUUAGGCACAGAGAGUGAUGCUUGUGACCAGGGGAUGGUGGGGGGGCCAAGUCUUGGCUGGGCUAAGAUGCCACCAUUCCACUCUAAAGCCAAAAGAGGAGGCAAUUUCAGCUUGGGGAGGAAUGGAGUUGUGGCAUGCUCAGAUCACAAUUCGUGACCUGGCUGUGUGGCUGGUUACAUCUGUGUCUUCUGUCACCAAGGGGCAGGCAAGAUUGAACAGAAGACAGGCACACCAUGACAAAUUGGUCAUCCAGCUGAGCCCAGUCUAUGUUAUCCUUUUGUUAAAUGUCUAGUGGAUGGAUAAACAAGAUGUGCCAUAGCCAUACAAUGGAAUAUUAUUCAACUAAUACAAUAAAAAGAUACAUGCUACAAAAUGGAUGAACUUCAACAACACUAAGUGAAGUGAAAGGAGCCAGUCACAAAUGACCAUGUAUUGUGUAAUUCCAUUUAUAUGAAAUAUCCAGAAUAGGCAAAUACAUAGGACAGAUAGUAGAUUAGUGGUUGCCUUGAGUGGGUGUUGACUACUAAUGGGUACAAAUUUUCUUGCUGAGAUGAUGCAAGUGUUCUAAAAUUAGAUUGUGGUGAUGGUCAAACAACUCUUUAUUGUACUCUUUAAGUAAGUGAAUGAUAAUCUAAACUGCAUUUCAAUAAAG